AGCCCCGAAGUGGAGUACACAUCGAAUUGCAAGUUCGGAGAGGCAACCCAAAAAGUUGCCGGGGCUU
This 67-nucleotide transfer RNA is filed under the name Stenodactylus doriae. Its description in RNAcentral is "tRNA-Cys". Lineage: Eukaryota; Metazoa; Chordata; Lepidosauria; Squamata; Gekkonidae. The record is from RNAcentral.